RNAcentral lists this ribosomal RNA (497 nucleotides) under uncultured bacterium. Its description in RNAcentral is "partial 16S ribosomal RNA". It matches the Rfam family "Bacterial small subunit ribosomal RNA", at positions 28 to 507 of the family's 1533-position model. The record is from RNAcentral.
GACGAACGCUGGCGGCGUGCCUAAUACAUGCAAGUAGAACGCUGAGGAGAGGAGCUUGCUCUUCUUGGAUGAGUUGCGAACGGGUGAGUAACGCGUAGGUAACCUGCCUUGUAGCGGGGGAUAACUAUUGGAAACGAUAGCUAAUACCGCAUAACAAUGGAUGACACAUGUCAUUUAUUUGAAAGGGGCAAUUGCUCCACUACAAGAUGGACCUGCGUUGUAUUAGCUAGUAGGUGAGGUAACGGCUCACCUAGGCGACGAUACAUAGCCGACCUGAGAGGGUGAUCGGCCACACUGGGACUGAGACACGGCCCAGACUCCUACGGGAGGCAGCAGUAGGGAAUCUUCGGCAAUGGGGGCAACACUGACCGAGCAACGCCGCGUGAGUGAAGAAGGUUUUCGGAUCGUAAAGCUCUGUUGUAAGUCAAGAACGAGUGUGAGAGUGGAAAGUUCACACUGUGACGGUAGCUUACCAGAAAGGGACGGCUAACUACGUG